AUUGAACGCUGGCGGCAGGCCUAACACAUGCAAGUCGAGCGGAUGAAGGGAGCUUGCUCCUGGAUUCAGCGGCGGACGGGUGAGUAACGCCUAGGAAUCUGCCUGGUAGUGGGGGAUAACGUCCGGAAACGGGCGCUAAUACCGCAUACGUCCUGAGGGAGAAAGUGGGGGAUCUUCGGACCUCGCGCUAUCAGAUGAGCCUAGGUCGGAUUAGCUAGUUGGUGGGGUAAAGGCCUACCAAGGCGACGAUCCGUAACUGGUCUGAGAGGAUGAUCAGUCACACUGGAACUGAGACACGGUCCAGACUCCUACGGGAGGCAGCAGUGGGGAAUAUUGGACAAUGGGCGAAAGCCUGAUCCAGCCAUGCCGCGUGUGUGAAGAAGAUCUUCGGAUUGUAAAGCACUUUAAGUUGGGAGGAAGGGCAGUAAGUUAAUACCUUGCUGUUUUGACGUUACCAACAGAAUAAGCACCGGCUAACUUCGUG
RNAcentral lists this ribosomal RNA (484 nucleotides) under uncultured bacterium. Its description in RNAcentral is "partial 16S ribosomal RNA". It matches the Rfam family "Bacterial small subunit ribosomal RNA", at positions 30 to 507 of the family's 1533-position model. The record is from RNAcentral.